GAGGAAAAGGAACCAACAGGGAUUGCCCCAGUAACGGCGAGUGAAGCGGCAACAGCUCAAAUUUGAAAUCUGGUCCCCAGGGCCCGAGUUGUAAUUUGCAGAGGAUGCUUUUGGUGAGGUGCCUUCCGAGUUCCCUGGAACGGGACGCCAUAGAGGGUGAGAGCCCCGUCUGGUUGGAUACCGAGCCUCUGUAAAGCUCCUUCGACGAGUCGAGUAGUUUGGGAAUGCUGCUCUAAAUGGGAGGUAUAUGUCUUCUAAAGCUAAAUAUUGGCCAGAGACCGAUAGCGCACAAGUAGAGUGAUCGAAAGAUGAAAAGCACUUUGAAAAGAGGGUUAAAUAGUACGUGAAAUUGUUGAAAGGGAAGCACUUAUGACCAGACUUGGCCCCGGUGAAUCAUCCAGCGGUUCCCGUUGGUGCACUUUGCCGGGGUUCAGGCCAGCAUCAGUUCGCUCCGGGGGAUAAAGGCUUUGGGAAUGUGGCUCCCUCGGGAGUGUUAUAGCCCAUUGCGCAAUACCCUGUGGCGGGCUGAGGUUCGCGC
This 538-nucleotide ribosomal RNA is filed under the name Metarhizium anisopliae. RNAcentral's name for it is "partial large subunit ribosomal RNA". It matches the Rfam family "Eukaryotic large subunit ribosomal RNA", at positions 53 to 598 of the family's 3401-position model. Lineage: Eukaryota; Fungi; Ascomycota; Sordariomycetes; Hypocreales; Clavicipitaceae. The record is from RNAcentral.